UACGGAGGGUGCGAGCGUUGUCCGGAAUCACUGGGCGUAAAGGGCGCGUAGGUGGCCUGUGGAAGUCUGCGGUGAAAGCCCGGCGCUCAACGCCGGGUCGGCCGUGGAUACUCUUGGGCUCGAGCUUACUAGAGGCAGAUGGAAUUCCGGGUGUAGCGGUGGAAUGCGUAGAGAUCCGGAAGAACACCGGUGGCGAAGGCGGUCUGCUGGGGUAAUGCUGACACUGAUGCGCGACAGCGUGGGGAGCGAACAGG
Molecule: ribosomal RNA, 254 nt
Filed under: uncultured bacterium
Lineage: Bacteria
Description: partial 16S ribosomal RNA
Rfam family: Bacterial small subunit ribosomal RNA
Source: RNAcentral